UUGGAGGGCAAGUCUGGUGCCAGCAGCCGCGGUAAUUCCAGCUCCAAUAGCGUAUAUUAAAGUUGUUGCAGUUAAAAAGCUCGUAGUUGAAUUUCGGGGUUCCUACCGUUGGUCCGGCCUUGUCUGGACUGGCGUUGAGAAUUUCCUACCUUCUGGGGAACCAUUAUGUUUUUAAUUUAGCGUGGUGGGAAACCAGGACCUUUACCUUGAAAAAAUUAGAGUGUCCAAAGCAGGCUUAUGUCUGAAUACAUUAGCAUGGAAUAAUAGAAUAGGACGCUGGUCCUGUUUUGUUGGUUUCUGAAUCACCGUAAUGAUUAAUAGGGAUAGUUGGGGGCAUUAGUAUUCAAUUGUCAGAGGUGAAAUUCUUGGAUUUAUUGAAGACUAACUUCUGCGAAAGCAUUUGCCAAGGAUGUUUUCAUUAAUCAAGAACGAAAGUUAGGGGAUCGAAGACGAUCAGAUACCGUCGUAGUCUUAACCAUAAACUAUGCCGACUAGGGAUCGGACGAUGUUAACUUUUCUUGACUCGUUCGGCGCCUUACGGGAAAC
RNAcentral lists this ribosomal RNA (546 nucleotides) under Vachellia tortilis subsp. raddiana. Its description in RNAcentral is "SSU rRNA". It matches the Rfam family "Eukaryotic small subunit ribosomal RNA", at positions 548 to 1098 of the family's 1831-position model. Lineage: Eukaryota; Viridiplantae; Streptophyta; Magnoliopsida; Fabales; Fabaceae. The record is from RNAcentral.